CGCUAAAAUCCCAAAGUAAUCACUCAGUGAUAAAAGGAGUGAUCAAGCAAUGACAACCAGAAGAUGAGCUUGAAAAUAACCAUCCUUUGAAGAAAGCAUAGUUGCUCAUUAGUCUAGAUCAAGGCAUUGAAAACAUUUCGGGCUCAAGUGAUUCACCGAAGCG
Molecule: non-coding RNA, 163 nt
Organism: Nicotiana sylvestris (wood tobacco)
Lineage: Eukaryota; Viridiplantae; Streptophyta; Magnoliopsida; Solanales; Solanaceae
Source: Rfam